Molecule: ribosomal RNA, 404 nt
Filed under: Actinomycetes bacterium
Lineage: Bacteria; Bacillati; Actinomycetota; Actinomycetes
Description: Actinobacteria bacterium partial 16S ribosomal RNA
Rfam family: Bacterial small subunit ribosomal RNA
Source: RNAcentral
UGGGGAAUAUUGGACAAUGGGCGCAAGCCUGAUCCAGCCAUGCCGCGUGAGUGAUGAAGGCCCUAGGGUUGUAAAGCUCUUUCACCGGUGAAGAUAAUGACGGUAACCGGAGAAGAAGCCCCGGCUAACUUCGUGCCAGCAGCCGCGGUAAUACGAAGGGGGCUAGCGUUGUUCGGAUUUACUGGGCGUAAAGCGCACGUAGGCGGACUUUUAAGUCAGGGGUGAAAUCCCGGGGCACAACCCCGGAACUGCCUUUGAUACUGGAAGUCUUGAGUAUGGUAGUGGUGAGUGGAAUUCCGAGUGUAGAGGUGAAAUUCGUAGAUAUUCGGAGGAACACCAGUGGCGAAGGCGGCUCACUGGACCAUUACUGACGCUGAGGUGCGAAAGCGUGGGGAGCAAACAGG